Molecule: long non-coding RNA, 2574 nt
Organism: Cercocebus atys (sooty mangabey)
Lineage: Eukaryota; Metazoa; Chordata; Mammalia; Primates; Cercopithecidae
Exons: 7
Source: RefSeq, a predicted model, not a curated record
GUUACGUGUUCCUACUAAUCAUUACCCAGGUCUUUUUCACCGUGUUGUUCAUUUUCCCUUCAAAUCAGGAGAGAUUUCUCUACAUCCGCUCACUCUCCGAAACCAUCAAAAGACGAAAGGGAAGAAACCCAAAAAAGUGUGUUAUUAGCACGGCAAAGUGGAGUAGCCCUCGGCCAGCUGUCAGAAAACACGGUUUCCAGCCUUACUCUUCUUGGGCGAUCUGUAUGGACUUAAACAUAUCCUUUUCCACAUGAACCUCAGGUUUUCUAACUGUAAGCACAGGGUCUGGCAAGACAUGUCUGAUAGAUCCACAGGUAUCUGAGCAGGUGCAUGGGUGACCGUCUGGCUGGUUGAGCUACUGGGAGAUCCAUUCAAGGAUUCCAGCUCCCUGAGAACACGCAGCAGACAGUGGUGUUUUAGAUCUCGGUCCCUUGUGCCAGUCAGAGGUGUGAAUCCUGUUAGCUUCUCAUUUACAACGUUUGGACAACAAGAAUUCCAACUCCUUUCCAGUUUGCACUGCUGUGGAUGACUCGAUUCUGCUAGUUGCUAGCUGAAAGUGUGUGGACUGAUGAUGUCAUCGAAGGCUUAAUUGGUCCCCUGCCCAUAGAUGGCUGCUAAGUUCCUGCACUAAUGAGAAGUGUGCCCAUCCUUGGCAAGUGACCACCUGCUUCUCAGCCCAAGAAGCUCCAGAAAUUGCACCAGCAGGAUCCCGGAAAUAAAGCUUUAGGUGUCUCUUACUGAGAGAAAGGACUCACACACCUUCUGUUUCCAGAGGCGACAGACUUCUUCCUGUGCAGAUCUCCACUUGAGUUGACUAGAGGAACGGGCAAGGAACUGCCUUUUGGGAGUUGUUUUCCAGAAAAAGAGCUCAUUAAUAGGUUAUACUGGAGGACGAGAGAGAGGCCAAUGCCUCUGAAGGCACUGCAGGUGAUGAGGAGGGGUCCUUUGUAGACUCAGCAGGUCAAGAUGGACAGUACAGGAUGUUAGCAGCACCCCAGGAGGGGGCAGGAUCUCCAAGAGCAGCGGUAUCCUGGAUUGAUAUGUGACCCAACAAUGACGGAGGUGAAAUUUCCCACCAACCAUGUGAAUGGAGGUUUUAAGACAGAUUGCAUUUAGCUUAAAGAUAAUUCAAAAUGCUGGACGUCCUGCGGAAUGGAACCUGUCUAUCUUUUGUUCACCGCUCUCCUGGUGCCUGGAACAGUUCACCCUCCAGGAGCUCAGAGUUUGAUGAUAGAGAUGCAUCCAUCCAGACCACUAUAACACAGGGAGACCGCUGCUCCACCAGAGGGGGGGUGUAUACAAGGGUUGUGGGUCCUCAGAGAAGGAGCCAACCCAUUUCCCUGGAGGAGAAAAGUAACAUGGGAAGGUUGCCCAGAGGAGGUAGAUAAUUGAAUAUGACCUUAAAGGAGGAAGGAGCACUUUGGUUUUUCUUUAUUUUAGACAGCCACGCUCUGGUGUAACUCCCCUUCACUCCUACCUCCCGGCUACUUCAUCCCAAGGCCUGACAGCUGGGGUCCCAGGGAGGCCUGAUUCAUGAACUAGGGGAUGCUUGUCUUUUGUCCUUUAUUUUAUCCGGAAUAAGGGGUCUUGAACACUUGGAACUCUUGUCUACAAGGAUGCUCAUACUGUUUAUAUUCAUUUUGAAUAUUUUAGAUCAUCAAUCUGCUACUCCCUCCUCUGUUCCUAAGAAACUCUGAACAUCCUGUCUUUGCAUGUAUGACAUAUCGUAGAUUCCUGAGAAGACCUCCUUUCCUCCACCAGACUGGGAGUCCCCCAAGGGCAGAGUUCAUGAAUCAGCCCUCUCGGUGACCCCAGAUGCCAAGUCUUGGAAGGAAGUAGCCACUCUGUACAUAUUAAAGUAUAUUGAGAAAUAAAGGAAACAGAGAAAUUCUCCCACUGGGGCAUCUUGUUGUUAAGAUAACUUACAUUCUGACUGCCAGGGUCCCUGAAAGACAGUGUUUGUUUCCCAGAACAGUAAUAGCCACGUUAACUCAUGAGGAUUAUAAUUCAGAGCAACUUUUGAUAAAAGGAGAUAUUUACUUCGAUAUGAAGGUUCCAGCAAAACAAAGUGGGACCAAUUAAUGCGUGUGUAUGGAGUCAUAUUUGUCUUAAUAACCACAGCCCUUUCUCAGGGUGAAAGACGGCAGCUAAAUGUCUUACUCUGGAUGUCUUCAGUGUGUUUGGUCGCCAUUUAAAUCCGAGAUAAAUGCUUUGCAUUCUGAAAGCAUGUUUCAAAAAGCUCAACAGUUUUAACUGAGAUGAUUAAAAUUCAAUUGCAAAUCAUUAUCCCUUCUAUUACAUUUUGCUCAUUAUUCAAAACGUGGACAAUAGAACUCUAACCAGAUUUGAGAUUUUUCCUGUCUCAUUGCCUGUAUUCAUUCAUUCAUUCACUCGCUCGCUCAUUUACCCAUUCUUCCUAUCAAAUGUUUCCUACGUGACAGACUUUUGUAAAGCAAAAUCUUCCCCUCAUAUUCUACUGUCUCUAAAUUACUCUCGCGAGCAAAUUUGCAGACAGCAUUGCCAGAAAACAGCUGACAUUUGGAAGGUUAUUUUGAUAGACUAGUCACUAUCACU